GACGAACGCUGGCGGCGUGCUUAACACAUGCAAGUCGAGCGGUAAGGCCCUUUCGGGGGUACACGAGCGGCGAACGGGUGAGUAACACGUGGGUGACCUGCCCUCAGCUCUGGGAUAAGCCCGGGAAACUGGGUCUAAUACCGGAUAUGACUCCAUGACGCAUGUUGUGGGGUGGAAAGCCUUGUGCGGCUGAGGAUGGGCCCGCGGCCUAUCAGCUUGUUGGUGGGGUGAUGGCCUACCAAGGCGACGACGGGUAGCCGGCCUGAGAGGGCGACCGGCCACACUGGGACUGAGACACGGCCCAGACUCCUACGGGAGGCAGCAGUGGGGAAGUCUUGCGCAAUGGGCGAAAGCCUGACGCAGCGACGCCGCGUGAGGGAUGACGGCCU
This 389-nucleotide ribosomal RNA is filed under the name uncultured bacterium. Its description in RNAcentral is "bacterial SSU rRNA". It matches the Rfam family "Bacterial small subunit ribosomal RNA", at positions 28 to 417 of the family's 1533-position model. The record is from RNAcentral.